This 387-nucleotide ribosomal RNA is filed under the name uncultured bacterium. RNAcentral's name for it is "bacterial SSU rRNA". It matches the Rfam family "Bacterial small subunit ribosomal RNA", at positions 30 to 419 of the family's 1533-position model. The record is from RNAcentral.
AUUGAACGCUGGCGGCAUGCUUUACACAUGCAAGUCGAACGGCAGCGCGGGGGCAACCUGGUGGCGAGUGGCGAACGGGUGAGUAAUGCAUCGGAACGUGCCAUUGAGUGGGGGAUAACGUAGCGAAAGUUGCGCUAAUACCGCAUAUUCUGUGAGCAGGAAAGCAGGGGACCGCAAGGCCUUGCGCUCUUUGAGCGGCCGAUGUCAGAUUAGCUAGUUGGUGAGGUAAAGGCUUACCAAGGCGACGAUCUGUAGCGGGUCUGAGAGGAUGAUCCGCCACACUGGAACUGAGACACGGUCCAGACUCCUACGGAGGCAGCAGUGGGGAAUUUUGGACAAUGGGCGCAAGCCUGAUCCAGCCAUGCCGCGUGAGUGAAGAAGGCUCGG